UCUCUGAUUCCGACGCGGUCGCCUCCGCUAGGCUUCGUCCGCUGCCGCUCUGUGAAUCAGCGAGAGCCUCGCCGUCGUCGUGCCCUUGGCUUUUCCCUGCACCUCUGCCUUGGCGACGAGGCGACAAUCACCGCCUCUUGGCCAACCAUACUUCCUCAUGGUUCACCCAUCGGUUUUUGGCUCAACGCUCAUACAAAAGCCGAGUUCUCCCAGCUCGGCCCCACACUAAGGGAGGAACUAUGGAGGGAUGGAGAGAGUUAAGCAAAACUUACCUAUCCGAAACUUGGCAGCUGGAAAAUUGGUUCACUCCUUUGAUUGCUGGUGAACAAAGACUGAAUAAGGGAGUUUGUUGGAUGGCUGACUUAUUGAAGGAGAGAGUUAGCUAAAUGGGAGUAUCUACUCUUCUAUGACAUGCUUGAAAGAUGGGCAGCAGGUGUAGGGUGGCUGAUUGACACUCUAAGUGUACCUUGGCAUGUUUUAAGGGAUGGGGGAGUGGCUUGGUGCAGAUGGAGGUGAAGGUUGUUGUUGCAGCUAUUCUGCACACAGGGCACACAUUUCUUUUUCUUUCUUUUCCUCUCUUUUGUUAGCAGGUAGUGAGUAGGAAAUAGGAAGUAAGUGAUGAUUGUACUAGCUAUGUAGUAGGAGUAAAAGUUGUACUGUAACUAGGAACAAAUCCUUAUGACUUGUAUUCUUUAUGCAUCUGUAAUAUUAA
This is a long non-coding RNA of Salvia miltiorrhiza (redroot sage), 712 nucleotides long. RefSeq lists it as uncharacterized. NCBI's taxonomy places the organism in Eukaryota, Viridiplantae, Streptophyta, Magnoliopsida, Lamiales, Lamiaceae. The transcript is spliced from 2 exons. The record is from RefSeq and is a predicted model, not a curated record.